RNAcentral lists this ribosomal RNA (594 nucleotides) under uncultured bacterium. RNAcentral describes it as "partial 16S ribosomal RNA". It matches the Rfam family "Bacterial small subunit ribosomal RNA", at positions 355 to 938 of the family's 1533-position model. The record is from RNAcentral.
UGGGGAAUAUUGCACAAUGGGCGCAAGCCUGAUGCAGCCAUGCCGCGUGUGUGAAGAAGGCCUUCGGGUUGUAAAGCACUUUCAGCGAGGAGGAAGGUGGUGAACUUAAUACGUUCAUCAAUUGACGUUACUCGCAGAAGAAGCACCGGCUAACUCCGUGCCAGCAGCCGCGGUAAUACGGAGGGUGCAAGCGUUAAUCGGAAUUACUGGGCGUAAAGCGCACGCAGGCGGUUUGUUAAGUCAGAUGUGAAAUCCCCGGGCUCAACCUGGGAACUGCAUUUGAAACUGGCAAGCUAGAGUCUCGUAGAGGGGGGUAGAAUUCCAGGUGUAGCGGUGAAAUGCGUAGAGAUCUGGAGGAAUACCGGUGGCGAAGGCGGCCCCCUGGACGAAGACUGACGCUCAGGUGCGAAAAGCGUGGGGAGCAAAACAGGAUUAGAUACCCUGGUAGUCCACGCCCUAAAACGAUGUCAACUAGUUGUUGGGGAUUCAUUUUCCUUAGUAAACGUAGCUAAACGCGUGAAGUUGACCGCCUGGGGAGUACGGUCGCAGGAUUAAAAACUUAAAAUGAAUUGACGGGGGUCAUAGCUGUUUCCU